UAGUCUUUUGUAAACAAUCUGAGCAAAGGAAGUAGAGACCAUCAUGUACUUUACUAAUCUCCAGAGGCCUCUUCAGUGAAGCGGCCUGCAGUAGACAAGAAGUGUUAGAAAAAGAAACAGUACAUUUGAGAUGAUUUACUAGAGAAUUGAUGGAGAUUAAAUUGUAUUUGAAAGAAGGGGCAUAAAGUACUCCGGACAAAGUGAUCUUGGGGGUAAGAUGCAC
This 223-nucleotide long non-coding RNA is filed under the name Solanum tuberosum (potato). RNAcentral describes it as "long non-coding RNA (STUB_LNC003363)". Lineage: Eukaryota; Viridiplantae; Streptophyta; Magnoliopsida; Solanales; Solanaceae. The record is from RNAcentral.